RNAcentral lists this ribosomal RNA (253 nucleotides) under uncultured bacterium. Its description in RNAcentral is "partial 16S ribosomal RNA". It matches the Rfam family "Bacterial small subunit ribosomal RNA", at positions 524 to 776 of the family's 1533-position model. The record is from RNAcentral.
UACGAAGGGGGCGAGCGUUGUUCGGAAUUACUGGGCGUAAAGGGCGCGUAGGCGGCGACUCUAGUCAGAUGUGAAAGUCCGGGGCUCAACUCCGGAUCUGCGGUGGGUACGGGCAGACUAGAGUGAUGUAGGGGAGACUGGAAUUCCUGGUGUAGCGGUGAAAUGCGCAGAUAUCGGGAGGAACACCAAUGGCGAAGGCAGCUUGCUGGGACGGUACUGACGCUGAGACGCGAAAGCGUGGGGAGCAAACAGG